CUAUACUGCAUCUGUCAGAAUAUUGUGCAUAAAGUUGUCAUGUUUCCUCUUUCUCCCAGAGGAAGAGAGAGAGAGAGGGCGAAAGAGAGACAGAGAGAUUUAUGAAAGAGAUUUUCUGUUUAUAAUUGGAUUUCAUUAUGUAAUAGGAAGACCAUCUCCUGGAGCAAGGAAGUGACACGUCUGGCUAAACAAAAUGUUGACCAGAAAUACAGGACAUCUGAACUCACCUUUGUUUUUGAUGGCACAUAGAGAGGAAAGAAGACAUAGAAAGGAUUAUCUAGUUUUUCUGAAUCUUUCCUUUUCAUAGUACUUUUCAGAUAAUGGACCAUCACAGCAUAAAAUGACUUAAGACUAGAAAUUAAAGGAACUACAGUAAGAGUGGUACACAAAGACUGGUUUGCAAGCACUGACUUGGAUAUAUGGUACCCAGACUACCUGUUUCCAAUUAUGGGAUUUGUAGUUCGACAAGAUGACAUUGCUG
This is a long non-coding RNA of Crotalus tigris (Tiger rattlesnake), 481 nucleotides long. RefSeq lists it as uncharacterized. NCBI's taxonomy places the organism in Eukaryota, Metazoa, Chordata, Lepidosauria, Squamata, Viperidae. The record is from RefSeq and is a predicted model, not a curated record. The transcript is spliced from 3 exons.